This 940-nucleotide ribosomal RNA is filed under the name Cassava witches'-broom phytoplasma. Its description in RNAcentral is "bacterial SSU rRNA". It matches the Rfam family "Bacterial small subunit ribosomal RNA", at positions 309 to 1266 of the family's 1533-position model. Lineage: Bacteria; Bacillati; Mycoplasmatota; Mollicutes; Acholeplasmatales; Acholeplasmataceae. The record is from RNAcentral.
CACAUUGGGACUAGACACGGCCCAAACUCCUACGGGAGGCAGCAGUAGGGAAUUUUCGGCAAUGGAGGAAACUCUGACCGAGCAACGCGCGUGAAUGACGAAGUACUUCGGUAUGUAAAGUUCUUUUAUCGAGGAAGAAAAGCAAAUGGCGAACCAUUUGUUGCCGGUACUUGAUGAAUAAGCCCCGGCUAAUUAUGUGCCAGCAGCCGCGGUAAGACAUAAGGGGCAAGUGUUAUCCGGAAUUAUUGGGCGUAAAGGGUGCGUAGGCGGUCUAGUAAGUCAGUGGUGUAAUGUCAACGCUUAACGUUGUCCGGCUAUUGAAACUGCUAAACUUGAGUUAGAUAGAGGCGAGUGGAAUUCCAUGUGUAGCGGUAAAAUGCGUAAAUAUAUGGAGGAACACCAGAGGCGUAGGCGGCUCGCUGGGUCUUAACUGACGCUGAGGCACGAAAGCGUGGGGAGCAAACAGGAUUAGAUACCCUGGUAGUCCACGCCGUAAACGAUGAGUACUAAGUGUCGGGUUAAACCGGUACUGAAGUUAACACAUUAAGUACUCCGCCUGAGUAGUACGUACGCAAGUAUGAAACUUAAAGGAAUUGACGGGACUCCGCACAAGCGGUGGAUCAUGUUGUUUAAUUCGAAGAUACCCGAAAAACCCUUACCAGGUCUUGACAUGUUUUGAUAGUAAUAUCGUGGAGGUUACCAGAAACACAGGUGGUGCAUGGUUGUCGUCAGCUCGUGUCGUGAGAUGUUAGGUUAAGUCCUAAAACGAGCGAAACCCUUAUCGUUAGUUGCCAGCACGUUAUGGUGGGGACUUUAACGAGACUGCCAAUGAUAAAUUGGAGGAAGGUGAGGAUCACGUCAAAUCAGCAUGCCCCUUAUGACCUGGGCUACAAACGUGAUACAAUGGCUGUUACAAAGGGUAGCUGAAACUCACGUUCUU